Molecule: long non-coding RNA, 415 nt
Organism: Gopherus flavomarginatus (Mexican gopher tortoise)
Lineage: Eukaryota; Metazoa; Chordata; Testudines; Testudinidae
Exons: 3
Source: RefSeq, a predicted model, not a curated record
AGCCCUGUGGAUGCUGUGUGGUGUCUGGAAUGGGGCGUGUGUGUUCCCAUCAUGCCCCUUCCCCUCUGCCUGCAGAGCUGAGGACAGACAGGUCUGAGGAGCAGAGCAGGAGCUCUGGGAAGGAGAAGAGCAAUAUGAAGAUGGAGUCUAAGAUGAGGCCAGGGAAAAGAAGUCGUGGGGAUGGAGUCCAGCCCUGAGGUGAGAUGGAAAGUGAUCAAGAGCAGUGACAGCGUGAAUCCUGUUGAUGCCAGGCAAGAGCUGCCCAACUGGGACAAGAGUAACCGUCUCUGUCGUUGGAAUGGAGCUUUUAAUUGACAUUUGCUGGAUUCAAAUGGCUGACUUGCAACACCAGUUUUGACAUAGUUCUGCAUAUUUUAUUACGAUUUGACCAGUAUUCAAGGAUUCAAUUCCUUUA